CGUGCAAGCUUGUAAUACAAAGAUUUUCACGUACCAAUUAAGCUUGGCAAUGGGUUGGAUUGGAUGUGGAUUUGGGUUGACCUGAAUCCAACUCGAUAUUCCAGCAUUUUGAUCCAAAUCCGACCCAUGAUCCGAUGGAUUAACAUUUUUUUUACCCAUAUCCUAUCCGAUUGGAUAUCGAAUUAUUCGAUCGGAUACCCA
This 201-nucleotide long non-coding RNA is filed under the name Elaeis guineensis (African oil palm). Its description in RNAcentral is "long non-coding RNA (EGUI_LNC025397)". Lineage: Eukaryota; Viridiplantae; Streptophyta; Magnoliopsida; Arecales; Arecaceae. The record is from RNAcentral.